Molecule: long non-coding RNA, 3358 nt
Organism: Zingiber officinale
Lineage: Eukaryota; Viridiplantae; Streptophyta; Magnoliopsida; Zingiberales; Zingiberaceae
Exons: 3
Source: RefSeq, a predicted model, not a curated record
AAAAUAUAUAAAAAAUAAAUCUAAUGGAAAGAAUUUAAAAUUUAGAAAAUAUAGUUUUUUUUCCCGAUCCAUACGUCCUUCUACCUACAAUACAGUAGAUGCCAUCCUCUUGGAGGAUCAAAAUCCAUAAAGUUUAUUUUUAACAUACUUCCCUCUCCUGAGUUUGGGAUAAAAUCAGCAUGAUCUUACAAUGCAAUUGAGGUCUUCCUCAUUGGAAUGGAUGCUGGGCUUGUAAUAUUCUACAAUUUUUAUAUUUAUUUAGAUUAUUAGGAAAAUUUAAGAAUAUUUUGGACUUUUUUUAAUCUGGAAAUGCAAACUUUAAUUACAUUCUUAGAAAAUUGCCAUGCACAUAUUAUGCAGUACUGGUGAUAACCCAAAAUAUUGUUUCAGCCACAAUCUUAUGGGUGCACCAUGCCACCAUAUCCAGAGUCAAUACCAGAUCGGCUCAAUGCCGGUCACUUCCUAAUACAGUAGUCUUUGUGCCUUCGGAUACAUGAUGAAUAGGAUCUUGCAUGUUUGCCUUUGUGCUCCUAGGGCGUAGCGCAGACGAUGUGUACAUGACAUCUUUGGUAAUGGCCAGCGGUUGAUUCUCAAGAACUAACAUCCUGGUGUUUACUCCACCAUGCACCUAACACCUGUGUACUUGCAUUUACCUCCCUUCAUAUCCGUGCGACCGAUACUAGGGGGUCGUUAAUGUAGCGGAUCUACAUUUAUUGUAUGCUUCCCUUUGUAUUUUCAUGAUGAUUGAGUCCCUUUGGAGAUGUUGUGCUUCAAAGAUCCACUUGUUAUGAGCAUCUAGGGUUGGUAGACUGUACAAGUGAGUGUUAUCGUUCUUGCUUUAUUUCUCGAUGAUGUACCAUGAGUUUCUUUUGCCAUCCAUUUGACCGCACUAUUCAAUGUAGUCAUUUGCCUGCUGAUGCCCAUCCGUUCUCAUAAAUAAUUUCAUAUGGUAUUGUUGUAGCAAAAGGUGAUUACACUCACCCCAGGCGCCAUAGUCCGUCCCAAGGUUAUGUGAAGAGUGGUAAAUCACGGGAUCAGUUUAUAGCCGACCGUCAAUUGGCUAGAGGGUGAGAGGCAUUGUUGUACUCACAUCCAAAGAACUGGUGAUUAUGAAUUUCUAGCGCUUUCCCGCAUAAGGAUCACAGCCUAGCUGAUGCCCAUCCGUUCUCAUAAAUAAUUUCAUAUGGUAUUGUUGUAGCAAAAGGUGAUUACACUCACCCCAGGCGCCAUAGUCCGUCCCAAGGUUAUGUGAAGAGUGGUAAAUCACGGGGUCAGUUUAUAGCCGACCGUCAAAUGGCUAGAGGGUGAGAGGCAUUGUUGUACUCACAUCCAAAGAACUGGUGAUUAUGAAUUUUUAGCUCUUUCCCGCAUAAGGAUCACAGCCUAGCUAUUUCCAGGAACUGUAGGUUGUCCAAGAUGAGCAGUCGAUCUUGAACCCCCGGUCGGAGUAUGAACAAGUGUUUAGGAAUCAGCCGCAAGCUCCAUAUGUCUUUCAUAAAUGGUUUUCUCCUGCUCCUUGGCUUGUAUAAUCCAUAUGCUUUUGUUGUGUCAAAUUGUGCUCUGUGAGUCCAGCUUGUUUGUAGGUUGGUUGCUGCUUCUUAAUUCCCAACCUAAUAGCAUAGAAAAGUCUUGAUUUUGCCACUCUUUUUGAGUAGAGGUGAGUCUAUUUUCCUCGGUUCCCAGUCCAUUAUGACCUUCCCUUAAGUUAUAUGUUGUUGAUCCAUUGAAUCUAGAGUGUCCUUGGACUGGACGUUCCAUAGGAUUCUGGUAUUCCCUUAAGGUAUAUGUUGUUGAUGUUCCAUUGAAUCUAGAGGUGAGUCUUUCCAUGCCUCUAGCAGCUUUUUCGUUCCCCAUAGGAAAACCCUGUAUAUCCUUAUGAUCUUUGCUAUAACUAUAGCUGGGAUAGGAAAUAUAGACAUCCAGUAAUAUUCCACUCCUUGCAGGAUGGAUUGGAUUAGCUCAGCGAUGGUCGAAUAAGAUAGGGUCUUGCUAGUCCAAGUAUUUACAUGUGCAGCUCGCUUGUCAACUAGAGGAGCAUAAUGAGUCACCUUCAAUUUUGCAGCAGCUAGUGGUACUCCCAAGUAUUUGAAUGGCAUGGAGCCACGUAUGAUCUGUGUUAGCUCUUCUAUUUCUUCUGGUUCAAACCCUACAAUCCCAGUUGUCUAUAGAGAGGACUUCGGCACAUUGAUGUUCAAGUCUGCAAUCAUUCCAAAUUCCUGUAGACACUUUUGAAGUAUCUCGACAGACAUGAUAUCACCUUUGGACAUAAGCAAUAAAUCAUCUGGAUAAGCUAGGUGAGUUAUUUGGAGGUCUACGCAUUUGGAGUGGAAGCUGAAAUCUAUGUUCGUUGUCUGCAGCAUCAUCAAUGUAGAGAAGCAAUCUAAGCAGAUCACAAACAAUCUCAUCAAUUAGGGGUCGCCCUGACGUAGUCCCCUCUUCCCCUGAACAUAUCCAGGAACACUGCCAUUGAUUACUAGUGAGAAAGAAACUGUGGUUAUGCAUUCCAUUACCCACUCAGUGAAUUUCUCUGGGAAACCCAUACUGAUGUCUACCUAGUACGAAAAAACUCCCAGUUGAUGGAGUCAUAAGCUUUCCACAAGUCAACUUUGAGCAUACACCUCAAAAAAAUCCACUUCUGACUGUAUCGUCACUCUAGGUGAAUGUUACAGGGAUGCUCCUACCAGUUACAAAAGCUGCCUGUGCAUCUAUUAUGGAGUCACAGUUUCGAAAGUCGAUUUGCUAGAAUCUUAGCAAUUUUACUUGAUAGUAGACGUUGCAGCAAGCUAUGAAAUCCUCCACCUUUUGCGGGUUGCUCACUUGUGUUACAACUCAAUCUCUGUUUGAUUAGUUUGUUUCGGCAGAAUCUGAUACAAAGAAUUCCAGCACCGCCUUUGUGAAAUGAGUACCCACCAUUUCCCCUUUUGGCAUUAGAAUAUCAGCCUACUGAGUAUUGAUCAACCUUCCUGCUGCAACCGCUUCCUGCAAGCUUUGUGCCUGAUCAAUUUCAGUCCCCAGCAAAUUCUGGAAGUGGCCCACGAAUUCAGCAGCUACUUUUUGGUGAGAAUAGGUCAUGGAUCCAUCUUCCCUGAUACUUCCAUCACUUAGUAUCUAUCACUAUUAUGAGAGUAACCUAUCUUAAUCUUGCGUUUUCUGGUUGUUCAUGGAGUUGGGUUUGUUGUUCUAACAGCUCCUGGUUUGCAGCUUUGACCGUGGAUGUGUUAUGGUGAUAAUGUUCUUUGUUUAGUUGCUCGAGUGAGGCUUUUAAUGAUUUCAGUUUCUUACAUAAUGUAAACUGUUUUGAACCCUGCAUUGUUGCGCUGCCAUUUCUCUUAGCAAAAUUUGGAAUUCCAGAUGCCUA